Molecule: ribosomal RNA, 770 nt
Filed under: Triticum aestivum (bread wheat)
Lineage: Eukaryota; Viridiplantae; Streptophyta; Magnoliopsida; Poales; Poaceae
Description: partial small subunit ribosomal RNA
Source: RNAcentral
UUACUUUGGAAGCCCUCUUAGUAAAAACCUUGUUUGCGUUAGGUCCUCUGAACCUCACCUGCAGUACUACUCCUGUAGUUAUGGUAACAAUGUGGGUGUCGGGAACAACGGCAUGUUUGACCUGGUUAAUGAUCUCGAACGCGUGCGGUUAAUUUAAUGGUCCAUGAAAGCACUACUCCUGUAGUUAUGGCAACAAUGUGGGUGUUGGGGACGACGAUAUGUAUGACCUGGUUAAUGAUCUCGAGCGCGUGCGGUUAACUUAAUGGUCCCGGAUCGAACCUCUUCCUACCUGUAACCUCGUUCUUGUUCGUACCUCUACUACCGUACGUGUUCCCCUUGUUCUUGCCUCAAUGUUCACUACUAAAGUCCUACAACUUCGGUAGUAUUACAUACGUACUUCGGAACCUGCUUUAUAUGUUCUACGGUGAAGUAUUGAAAGCAGGUCUCCCAUAAGAUCCACGACGCAGUGGAAUAAUAACCCGGUCCGGGUACAUAAAAGCUUUAUGAAGUCAUAUCCGACAAAAAUCUCAGGCAUACACACCCCUUUGUUCUCUAUCCCAACCAAAGCCUGGAGAAGGGGUUCCCGGUGCUUUAAGGGGGGGGGAGAAGGAGGUAUAUAUGUCGGGAAUCCCGCAGCAAAUCUGAAACCCAAAACAAAUCUGAUUUCAAGCUGUAUCGAUGUUGAAGCGCAUGAAGCAAACACAAGUUGCUGGUCUGUUUCCGCAGUGUCUUGGGGUGGAACUAGUUAUUUCGAAAGGAGAAUAUAAGCG